GUAGCAGAUAGCCAAGUCUGGUAAGGCACCAGCUAAAGAACCUUAUUCAUUUCCCUUACCCAUUUCGGGUCGAAGAAUGAGGGUUAUCGUAGGGCGCUGGGAUCGGAGGUUCAAAUCCUCCUCUGCUACA
This 130-nucleotide transfer RNA is filed under the name Limnothrix sp. RL_2_0. Its description in RNAcentral is "tRNA-OTHER". It matches the Rfam family "tRNA". Rfam says of the family: Transfer RNA (tRNA) molecules are approximately 80 nucleotides in length. Their secondary structure includes four short double-helical elements and three loops (D, anti-codon, and T loops). Lineage: Bacteria; Bacillati; Cyanobacteriota; Cyanophyceae; Pseudanabaenales; Pseudanabaenaceae. The record is from RNAcentral.